This 493-nucleotide ribosomal RNA is filed under the name uncultured bacterium. Its description in RNAcentral is "bacterial SSU rRNA". It matches the Rfam family "Bacterial small subunit ribosomal RNA", at positions 29 to 518 of the family's 1533-position model. The record is from RNAcentral.
AUGAACGCUAGCGACAGGCCAACACAUGCAAGUCAGGGGCAGCACAAGGAGCAAUCUGAGGUGGCGACCGGCGCACGGGUGAGUAACACGUAUGCAACCUGCCUGUAAGCGGGGAAUAACCCGUUGAAAGACGGACUAAUACCGCAUAAUACUAAAUUACUGCAUGGUAAUUUAUUUUAAACAUUUAUGGCUUACAGAUGGGCAUGCGCAUGAUUAGCUAGUUGGAGAGGUAACGGCUCCCCAAGGCAACGAUCAUUAGGGGUUCUGAGAGGAAGGUCCCCCACACUGGUACUGAGACACGGACCAGACUCCUACGGGAGGCAGCAGUGAGGAAUAUUGGUCAAUGGACGAGAGUCUGAACCAGCCAAGUCGCGUGCAGGAAGAAUGUCCUAUGGAUUGUAAACUGCUUUUGCAGGGGAAUAAAGUGCAUCACGUGUGAUGUUUUGUAUGUACUCUGCGAAUAAGGAUCGGCUAACUCCGUGCCAGCAGCUGC